GACGAACGCUGGCGGCGUGCUUAACACAUGCAAGUCGAACGGAAAUGCCCUGCGUUUGAGCGGUGCUCGAGUGGCUAACGGGUGAGUAACUCGUGAUUAACCUGCCCUUGACUUUGGGAUAACUUCAGGAAACUGGGGCUAAUACCGGAUAGGAGCUCCUGCUGCAUGGUGGUGGUUGGAAAGUUUCGGCGGUUGGGGAUGGACUCGUGGCUUAUCAGCUUGUUGGUGGGGUAGUGGCUUACCAAGGCUUUGACGGGUAGCCGGCCUGAGAGGGUGACCGGCCACAUUAGGACUGAGAUACGGCACAGACUCGUACGGGAGGCAGCAGUGGAGAAUAUUACACAAUGGGCGGAAGCCUGAUGCAGCAACGCCGCGUGCGGGAUGACGGGCUUCGGGUUGUAAACCGCAGUCGCCUGUGACGAAGCGUGAGUGACGGUAAUGGGUAAAGAAGCACCGGCUAACUACGUG
This 468-nucleotide ribosomal RNA is filed under the name uncultured bacterium. RNAcentral describes it as "partial 16S ribosomal RNA". It matches the Rfam family "Bacterial small subunit ribosomal RNA", at positions 28 to 507 of the family's 1533-position model. The record is from RNAcentral.